UCCCUGCUGGCUCAGAGGUUAAAGCGUCUGCCUGCAAUGUGGGAGACCUGGGUUCAAUCCCUGGGUCAGGAA
Molecule: transfer RNA, 72 nt
Filed under: Bos taurus (domestic cattle)
Lineage: Eukaryota; Metazoa; Chordata; Mammalia; Artiodactyla; Bovidae
Also listed under: 2 other names
Rfam family: tRNA
About the family: Transfer RNA (tRNA) molecules are approximately 80 nucleotides in length. Their secondary structure includes four short double-helical elements and three loops (D, anti-codon, and T loops).
Source: Rfam by way of RNAcentral